UUAAUUGUAUAAACUGAAUGUUAAGAAACACUUAAAUCUGCCAUUUUGUUUUUGUUUAUUUCACAAUUAUAGUGAUUAUUCCACAGUUGAAAGUAUAUGUCGCUGUCAAUGGGCGACAUCACACUUUUGUUGUUUUGCAUUUAAUUUCGAUAUCUUUAACUUCCACUUUGAUUAAGUUUACAGUCGCAAGGUGGAAGGUGCAUUUAUAGCUUCAGAGUCUUACUUUGUCGACAAACCCUUAUUCUUUUUUAGAGUUUGACGAUACACUAUGUUUUUUAUUGUCUUAAUUUGUCUUUUUUUUUUAUAUAAGUGAACGUCGAUAAAAGAUUGAUGGAAGAUAAAUAAGUGUCAUUCAAAAUCAUAGGCUACAGUGUUGUUAAUGAACUACGUUUAGUGAACAACGUUUUAUGACUAUGAAGUUACACAUACUUUGACGUUGUGUUGUAUUUUACCGAUGUGAAAUUCAUUAAAUUACUUUAUGCAAAAAUAACAAUGGCAAUGACCUUAUGAUUAUGUUACAUCAUACAAAUGGAAAUCUAUCAGACAACAUAACGAUUUGGAAGAAAAAACUAGAGACUGUCAAUUCAUAUCUUUGUAGAUAAUAAUUUUAAAUGAAUUUGUGUAGUAACAUUUUUUUAACUUAAAUUCUGAAUAGAUAUUUUACUUAUUUCAAGGAUUUGCAAUCAAUGGAAAUAUAAUGUUAAAAUGUUGAUUUGUUUUCAAUUUUUAGUAAGUGUUGAUUGUAUUCGACAUUUUUUUAUUGAGUUAAGCCUGCUAAUUGAUAUUUUAUCGUGUGUUUUUCUAUGUUGUGAUGUUAUGCUAUUGUUUCGGAAAAAGGGAGAAGGUUUGGUACCAUUAAAACGUUUAAUCCCGCUGCAAAUGUUUGCACCUGUCCUAAGUCAGGAAUCUGAUGUACAGUAGUUGUCGUUUGUUUAUGUAAUUUAUACGUGUUUGACGUUCUCGUUUUUUUUAUAUAGAUUAGACCGUUGGUUUUCCCUUUUGAAUGAUUUUACACUAGUAAUUUUGGGACCCUUUAUAGCU
Molecule: long non-coding RNA, 1041 nt
Filed under: Mytilus galloprovincialis (Mediterranean mussel)
Lineage: Eukaryota; Metazoa; Mollusca; Bivalvia; Mytilida; Mytilidae
Source: RNAcentral